UUACGGAAGGCAGCAGGCGCGAAUAAUUCACAAUGGGGGCAACCCUGAUGGUGCAACGCCGCGUGGAGGAUGACGGUCUUCGGAUUGUAAACUCCUGUCAUCUGGGAGUAAGACCUGGUCGUUAAUAGCGGACAGGGUUGAUAGUACCAGAAGAGGAAGGGACGGCUAACUUCGUGCCAGCAGCCGCGGUAAUACGAAGGUCCCGAGCGUUGUUCGGAAUCACUGGGCGUAAAGGGAGCGUAGGCGGCGUGGUAAGUCAGAUGUGAAAUCCCGGGGCUCAACCCCGGAACUGCAUCCGAUACUGCCGUGCUAGAGGAUUGGAGAGGUAGCUGGAAUUCUUGGUGUAGCAGUGAAAUGCGUGGAUAUCAAGAGGAACACUCGUGGCGAAAGCGAGCUACUGGACAACUCCUGACGCUGAGGCUCGAAGGCCAGGGUAGCGAAAGGGAUUAGAUACCCCAGU
Molecule: ribosomal RNA, 460 nt
Filed under: uncultured bacterium
Lineage: Bacteria
Description: bacterial SSU rRNA
Rfam family: Bacterial small subunit ribosomal RNA
Source: RNAcentral